This 200-nucleotide long non-coding RNA is filed under the name Gossypium barbadense (sea-island cotton). RNAcentral describes it as "long non-coding RNA (GBAR_LNC020638)". The record is from RNAcentral. Lineage: Eukaryota; Viridiplantae; Streptophyta; Magnoliopsida; Malvales; Malvaceae.
AGAUUCUUGGUGGAGUCCCCCGGAGGACAGAAUAGCACUACUUAGUGAGACGGAGCGGAGAGCCCGUUGCGCGUUGUUUUUGUUUGACCGGCCUAUCUUCUUUCUCCACUUAUUUAUCUAAAUAUUCAAAAAUAACAACUUAAAUGACGAAUUGAAAAGAAAAGAAAGAAAGAUAUAUUUGGCCUAUUUAACCGUUCGCC